RNAcentral lists this ribosomal RNA (472 nucleotides) under uncultured bacterium. RNAcentral describes it as "partial 16S ribosomal RNA". It matches the Rfam family "Bacterial small subunit ribosomal RNA", at positions 28 to 507 of the family's 1533-position model. The record is from RNAcentral.
GACGAACGCUGGCGGCGUGCUUAACACAUGCAGGUCGAACGAUGAACCCGGAGCUUGCUCUGGGGGAUUAGUGGCGAACGGGUGAGUAACACGUGAGUAACCUGCCCUGGACUCUGGGAUAAGCGUUGGAAACGACGUCUAAUACCGGAUAGGACCUUGGAUCGCAUGAUCUGGGGUGGAAAGUUUUUUCGGUCUGGGAUGGACUCGCGGCCUAUCAGCUUGUUGGUGAGGUAAUGGCUCACCAAGGCGUCGACGGGUAGCCGGCCUGAGAGGGUGACCGGCCACACUGGGACUGAGACACGGCCCAGACUCCUCCGGGAGGCAGCAGUGGGGAAUAUUGCACAAUGGGCGAAAGCCUGAUGCAGCAACGCCGCGUGCGGGAUGACGGCCUUCGGGUUGUAAACCGCUUUUAGUAGGGAAGAAGGGCUUCGGCUUGACGGUACCUGCAGAAAAAGGACCGGCUAACUACGUG